UAGGGAAUCUUCGGCAAUGGGGGCAACCCUGACCGAGCAACGCCGCGUGAGUGAAGAAGGUUUUCGGAUCGUAAAGCUCUGUUGUAAGAGAAGAACGUGUGUGAGAGUGGAAAGUUCACACAGUGACGGUAACUUACCAGAAAGGGACGGCUAACUACGUGCCAGCAGCCGCGGUAAUACGUAGGUCCCGAGCGUUGUCCGGAUUUAUUGGGCGUAAAGCGAGCGCAGGCGGUUUAAUAAGUCUGAAGUUAAAGGCAGUGGCUUAACCAUUGUUCGCUUUGCAAACUGUUAAACUUCCGUGCAUUACGGCAGACUGGAAUUCCAUGUGUAGCCGUGCAAUGCGUAGAUAUCUGGAGAACCACCGGUGGCGAAAGCGGCUCUCUGGUCUGUAACUGACGCUGAGGCUCGAAAGCGUGGGGAGCAAACAGG
RNAcentral lists this ribosomal RNA (429 nucleotides) under bacterium. Its description in RNAcentral is "partial 16S ribosomal RNA". It matches the Rfam family "Bacterial small subunit ribosomal RNA", at positions 355 to 776 of the family's 1533-position model. The record is from RNAcentral.